UAUAUAGAAAUCUUAAUAAAAUAUUAAAAUAAUAAUUUUAAUUUAAUCCCAAUCAAAAUCUAAUCAAAUAUUAAUCAAAUCUUAAUCAAAUCCUUGUCAAAUCCUAGUCAACUCCUAAAUAAGUCCUAACCAAAUCCUAGACAAACCCUAGACAAAUCCUAGUCAAAUCCUAAUCAAAUCCUAAAAAAAUCCUAAUCAAAUCUUAAAUCAAAUUUCAAAACCUUAAUCUUAAUUUUUACCAAAUCUUAAUCCUAAUCAAAUCUUAAAUCAACCCAAAAUCCUAAUCCUAAUCCUAAACCAAACCCUAAUCAAUUCCAAGUAAUUCCUAUAGGAGAUUUAAACCUCAAUAAU
This 351-nucleotide long non-coding RNA is filed under the name Physcomitrium patens. RNAcentral describes it as "long non-coding RNA (PPAT_LNC005608)". Lineage: Eukaryota; Viridiplantae; Streptophyta; Bryopsida; Funariales; Funariaceae. The record is from RNAcentral.